CAGCAGAAAACCUCCUAUAUAUCACGACUGGGUGUUUUCCUUCAAAUUCGUUAUCAAUCACUGGCCCCUCGUCCAAUACUAUAUAUAAGGAGGUUCGUGAUGUUAGAGCCAUGCUCCCUUCGACAAAACCCCUCAGGGAAUCAUACACUAAGACAGAAUGAACGCCAGGCAGAUUUUAGUUCUAGUGUUAGUUUCCAGUAUCCUGGUCGCUUCCUGUGACGCCCAACUAUUCGGAGGCAGACGACGACGAGGUCGUUUAGGGGGAUUUGCGGCUGGGCUCGGGCUCGGGAUUCUGGGAGCAGGGCUUCUGGGAGGUUUUAACCGACCUUAUGGAUAUGGCGGCUUCGGUUCCCCUUACGGUUACGGCGGCUUUGGACGAGGAUUUGGAUACCAUGGACUAGGUUACGGAUAUCCAUACGGUGGUUUUGGUGGUAUCGGAUUUCCCCACUCGCAUAUUCACGUUUACUAAACGAGCUUCCCGUGAUGGACGUGUGUGGGUCAUGAAGAUGUGCUAUUUGCCAAAAAAAUAAAAGAAAAUACGUUACACUC
Magallana angulata is the source of this 549-nucleotide long non-coding RNA. RefSeq lists it as uncharacterized. The transcript has 3 exons. The record is from RefSeq and is a predicted model, not a curated record. Lineage: Eukaryota; Metazoa; Mollusca; Bivalvia; Ostreida; Ostreidae.